RNAcentral lists this ribosomal RNA (465 nucleotides) under Vreelandella stevensii. RNAcentral describes it as "partial 16S ribosomal RNA". It matches the Rfam family "Bacterial small subunit ribosomal RNA", at positions 338 to 795 of the family's 1533-position model. The record is from RNAcentral. Lineage: Bacteria; Pseudomonadati; Pseudomonadota; Gammaproteobacteria; Oceanospirillales; Halomonadaceae.
CCUACGGGUGGCAGCAGUGGGGAAUAUUGGACAAUGGGGGGAACCCUGAUCCAGCCAUGCCGCGUGUGUGAAGAAGGCCCUCGGGUUGUAAAGCACUUUCAGUGAGGAAGAACGCCUGGUGGUUAAUACCCAUCAGGAAAGACAUCACUCACAGAAGAAGCACCGGCUAACUCCGUGCCAGCAGCCGCGGUAAUACGGAGGGUGCGAGCGUUAAUCGGAAUUACUGGGCGUAAAGCGCGCGUAGGUGGCUUGAUAAGCCGGUUGUGAAAGCCCCGGGCUCAACCUGGGAACGGCAUCCGGAACUGUCAAGCUAGAGUGCAGGAGAGGAAGGUAGAAUUCCCGGUGUAGCGGUGAAAUGCGUAGAGAUCGGGAGGAAUUCCAGUGGCGAAGGCGGCCUUCUGGACUGACACUGACACUGAGGUGCGAAAGCGUGGGUAGCAAACAGGAUUAGAUACCCCUGUAGUC